UUGGUCUUGUACAGGACUGUAGAGAUGAAUAAUUUUUUAUUUUAGAUAGAACCCACCUUAUAGACUACUUGUUGGCUUAAAUAUCGUGGAAACAAAACCAUAAUUAUACGCUGAUUAUGUUGGUCUGUAUAUGGAUUACUUGGUCUAUAUAUAUUAUGGUUGCUCUAAUACCCCUUGAAAAUGAUACUGCGCGGCUGUUCGUUCUAUCCAACACCACGCACAUGGACCUAUGGCCCAAUUAGACCAACGCAGAUGUCACCAAAGAAAGAAGAUCGUGUUGGUUCCUCUGACGCCUCAUCAUUUCCAUCGCCUCUGCAUGCACCGGCCGCUCGCUGCUACGCUCGCCGCUGCUUUCGCUGCUACGCUUGCUGCUGCGCUCAUUGAUGCUCUCCAGGAUGGACGCAUGCUCGCAUCCAGCUUGCUGCUACGCCUGCCUAUUCGCGCUCUUUCCCUCCCUCCUCCCUCAGCAACCUCCCUGCUCCCUCAUCAGACACAAGGAUGACGGCGGCUCCAGCAAGAUAGGUCAGGUCUUUUCUAGAUUUGAGCCUCCUCCUCCUCCUUCUUCUCCUCCUCCUCCUCCUCCUAAUCCUCAUCCUUAUCCUUAUCCUCCUCCUCCUCUAGAUUUAAGGGACACAGUGGUGACUAAAGGUCUGGUGAACUCCUGCUUCCUCCGGC
This 675-nucleotide long non-coding RNA is filed under the name Sorghum bicolor (sorghum). Its description in RNAcentral is "long non-coding RNA (SBIC_LNC013563)". Lineage: Eukaryota; Viridiplantae; Streptophyta; Magnoliopsida; Poales; Poaceae. The record is from RNAcentral.